CCGGCCCUCCGCGAGCACCCGCGGCGGAUCGGGUUCCGGACCCGGUCCGAUCCCGUUCCCACCGAGGGGCUGUCCGCGAUCAUGGAGGUGUCCUCGGACGGCGUCGAAUCCUUCUCCAGUCCGCGACGCUACGGCUUGGAUGGUCCACCCGACCCGUCUUGAAACACGGACCAAGGAGUCUAACAUGCGCGCGAGUCGUUGGGUCGGACACGCUCCGCUAAACCCAUAGGCGCAAUGAAAGUGAAGGCCGCCGUCGGGCGGCCGAGGGAGGACGGGGCCGCUCGCGCGUUCCGGCGCGCGACGGUCCCCGCACCCCCGGGGCGUCUGAUCCCUCAUCGCGAGGGGAGGCGCACCCAGAGCGCACACGUUGGGACCCGAAAGAUGGUGAACUAUGCCUGGCCAGGACGAAGUCAGGGGAAACCCUGAUGGAGGUCCGUAGCGAUUCUGACGUGCAAAUCGAUCGUCGGAGCUGGGUAUAGGGGCGAAAGACUAAUCGAACCAUCUAGUAGCUGGUUCCCUCCGAAGUUUCCCUCAGGAUAGCUUGCGCUCGGAGGAGAGUCUCAUCCGGUAAAGCGAAUGAUUAGAGGCCUUGGGGCCGAAACGGCUUCAACCUAUUCUCAAACUUUAAAUGGGUGAGAACUCCGGCUUGCUCGACUUGUCGAAGCCGGAGACGGGGCUCCGGCCCCCGGGAUCGGAGUGCAUAGUGGGCCACUUUUGGUAAGCAGAACUGGCGCUGUGGGAUGAACCAAACGACGGGUUAAGGCGCCCGAAUCGACGCUCAUGGGAAACCAUGAAAGGUGUUGGUUGCUUAAGACAGCAGGACGGUGGCCAUGGAAGUCGGAAUCCGCUAAGGAGUGUGUAAUAACUCACCUGCCGAAGCAACUAGCCCUGAAAAUGGAUGGCGCUGAAGCGUCGUGCCUAUACCCGGCCGUCGCGGCAGGGCGGACCCGCGAGGGUGCCGUUCGAUGCGGCGACGAGUAGGAGGGUCGCGGCGGCGCGCGCAGAAGGGUCUGGGCUCGAGCCUGCCUGGAGCCGCCGCCGGUGCAGAUCUUGGUGGUAGUAGCAAAUACUCCAGCGAGGCCCUGGAGGACUGAUGUGGAGAAGGGUUUCGUGUGAACAGCCGUUGCACACGAGUCAGUCGAUCCUAAGCCCUAGGAGAAAUCCGACGCCAACGGCGACGGGAAAAGCGAGAGAGACUGAGAAAGAAACCCGUUGAUCGGGCGAAAGGGAAUCCGGUUCCUAUUCCGGAACCCGGCAGCGGAACCGCUGUUUGUCGGGCCCUCACAAGGGGUUCGUCAGGGUAACCUAAAAGGGCCCGGAGACGCCGUCGGGAGCCCCGGAAAGAGUUUUCUUUUCUGCAUGAGCGUUCGAGUUCCCUGGAAUCCU
This 1386-nucleotide ribosomal RNA is filed under the name Platystigma martinezi. RNAcentral describes it as "partial 28S ribosomal RNA". It matches the Rfam family "Eukaryotic large subunit ribosomal RNA", at positions 605 to 1729 of the family's 3401-position model. Lineage: Eukaryota; Metazoa; Arthropoda; Insecta; Odonata; Coenagrionidae. The record is from RNAcentral.